Agelaius phoeniceus (red-winged blackbird) is the source of this 594-nucleotide non-coding RNA. The record is from RefSeq and is a predicted model, not a curated record. NCBI's taxonomy places the organism in Eukaryota, Metazoa, Chordata, Aves, Passeriformes, Icteridae.
CUCAGCUCUUGCUGCUCCUGCUCACAGGGUAAAGCCAAAAGCUGUCGUGAUCAAAAACGCAGGCCGCCCUUCUGACCUGAGUCACAGGGGCCGUUUCUUCUGAAUGACUCAAGAUGGGAAAUCAUUCUUGGAGCUUCAGAAGAAAAAGAACCCCAAAACCGUAGAAUGCAGCCGCCCAAGAAGGGAUUUUUUGUGGCUCAGCCAGAUGUGCUCCUGCCUCCCACCGAGACACUGAGACGGAGCUGAGUUUGCAUUCCAAUAUCUUGGAACAGAGGCUCAUGGGAAGUUUUCUCAGCUAUCCAAGGCACGGAGCCCUGGAGCCAAGUCAGCCUGAGCUGUUGCGUGCUUGCUGUGAGCCUUGAGGGCAGGACAGCGUUCAGACUUGAAAGUGUAAGAAGAUGUGGAGUGAGACAGAGAAUCUGACAGGAGCACCGGACUCACAAGUGCACAAAUUUUGCUUUUGGCUUGGAUUUAAACUCAGAAGUUGUAAGGAAUUUGGGAAGGAGAAGAAGAAAAAGAAGUUGUUGUUGUUACAGCCCUGGCAAAAUCUUUGGUUCUAGCUAAUAAAGGAAGUUAGUUGAAAUAAAAAGAAAG